AUGAAACAAAGUCGUGUCUUCAGCCUACAAUCUUAAUACUAAAAUCAGCAUUUUUAAAAUACAAUUUUAGGAAUAAUAUAUUGAAAUUUUAGGAAUAAUAUAAAAAAUCCGGCUGAUAAAAUCCUUUUAAACAUGAUUGACCCUUUUCCUUUACCCGUUUAACGACCAGUUCUUCUGAAUACACCGCUUAAUGCCUCAACCUUUCGCCCAUGGAAGAAUGAGACGACUCACCUGCAACAGUCCAAAACACCCACCUCUGUGCAAAGAGUGCAAAUCGAAUCUAUCAAAGUACACACGCCCAGGUUGUUUUGUACGCUCCUGUAGUCUUCCUUGUGUUAAAGCUCACAAGCAACACACUAGGUGUACGGGCAAGAGGCAGCGGACCCAGUUCUUUCCCCUCUCUCAAUUUGACGAUAAUCUUCUCUUAUCUGAUUAUAAUUUGUUCGAGGAAGUGAAGAGGGUCGCAGAAUCUGCUCAGAGAACAAGAAUUAAUUUGUUUGGGUAUUCUCAUUUUAAGAUUCCAUCCCAUCUUCAAGGCCUUAGGAAUGCUGCAGAGUCACAGGACGAAAGUCCUAUUUCUCCCCAGUGGAGUGUCGAAGAAGGAGAAAAAUAAAUCUCAAUACAACCAAAGAAUAAAUGCAAACUGAACCCUCUCAUCUGUAAUUGAGAACCAUCUAAAGCCCCGGCCAUGGAAUCAUAAGUUUCAUUCCAUGCAGAGCAGUUGCACUGUCUCAAAACUUUUGCUCGUAAAUACCCAAAGGACCCCAGGUCACCUUUCCGUGAGUUGGAUAUAAGAGCUCCAAUAAGACAACAAUUAGCAAAUUUCGUUAUUCUGGAGCACUCUCUGAUUCAUGUUUUCUUCCCUUCACAUAGCUAUGAUUUCAAUGUCAUUAAAGAUGUCAAUCCCUGUUGUCAUCAGUCAGAGCUUAAGGAGUCUGUUGCCAUUGAUCACCCAAGUUCAGAAGGCAUUUCAUUCAGGGAAAAGGAAAUAGAAGAACAUGGUGGUUCUUCAGAUCCUUAGGUUCUAGAUCUCAUGAAACAUGUGAAUCUUCAGAAGCUAAUGAGCCACAGUCCAGCCCCCAGAAGAAGGAACCGGGUGAAAACUUGGAUUUUGAUUUUGAUCAAGGCUUGCUUGAUGCAUACUCUGAUAUAUUUGCUCAAAUUAAUCCUGAUGAUUUUCUUGAUUGGGAAGGUGACGUUUCCAAGGAAGUGAAAUCUGAAGAAAGAAUAGAUUGUUCAGAUCUUGGUAGAGUUUUCCCAGUGGAGGAAUUAGAGGAAGAGCAGAUUCCGGGGUGCUGAACAAUUGAAUGCUCAUUGAUCUGUUCAAGAUGAAUAAGAACUCAAAACUGAAGGAUCAUUUCCCUGUAGUAAUCUCUAAACAUUAUGAAGCAAAGUCCUCAAUUCUCUGUGCAUGACAAAUUCCCAUUUGGAUAGAGCCUAAGGAGGCUGUGAAUUGAGUGAUUGUGGGCACGACACCUCCAUCGCUUUGUGAUCAAUGGCAAUGUUUAUGGUUGAAACCACAGUCUCUGUUGGUGGGGUUUCUCAAGUUCUAAAAGAGCCUGGCUUCUUGAUCAUCAUCAGAUUUCUUCAGAGGGCACACGCAUAGACAUCUUGGAGCAGCACUUACUGUCAUGGAAGGUACAGUCUAAGUGUUUCUUUCACAACUGCUUGCAAGUAGGGGAGGUUUGAGAUAUUUGGUUCUGACAGCAAGUUUAGGAAGUCAAAUCAAUUUUAUUACUGCAAUUGAUAUAUUUUAGGAAGGCUCAUAUCUUCUUUUUUGUUUUUAUUUUUUUGAGAUAUUAUUUCCUGAUCUUCAUGACAGAUUUUAGGGAAUCAGUUCCUAUUUUCCAUCUACUUUAACUGUACAUAUCUUUGUAGAGACUCAUCAUUCAAAUCAAUAUACAAAAUUUUGCAGUGUUUCUCCUUGUCAAAGGUCAUGGAAGGUAGUCUUAAGUGUUUCUUUCACAACUGCUUGCAAGUAGGGGAGGUUUGAGACAUCUGGUUCUGGUGGCAAGUUUAGGAAGUCGAAUCAAUUUUAUUAUUGUAAUUGAUGUAUUUUAGGAAGGUUCAUACAUUCUUUUCUGUUUUAGGGAAUCAGUUCCUAUUUUCCAUCUACCACAUAUCUUUGUAGAGACUCAUCUUUCAAAUCAAUGUACAAAAUUCAUUUUUACCACA
Long non-coding RNA from Vitis vinifera (wine grape), 2175 nucleotides. RefSeq lists it as uncharacterized. Lineage: Eukaryota; Viridiplantae; Streptophyta; Magnoliopsida; Vitales; Vitaceae. The transcript is spliced from 5 exons. The record is from RefSeq and is a predicted model, not a curated record.